This 253-nucleotide ribosomal RNA is filed under the name uncultured bacterium. RNAcentral describes it as "partial 16S ribosomal RNA". It matches the Rfam family "Bacterial small subunit ribosomal RNA", at positions 524 to 776 of the family's 1533-position model. The record is from RNAcentral.
UACGUAGGUGGCAAGCGUUGUCCGGAAUUAUUGGGCGUAAAGAGCUCGUAGGCGGUUUGUCGCGUCUGCCGUGAAAGUCCGGGGCUCAACUCCGGAUCUGCGGUGGGUACGGGCAGACUAGAGUGAUGUAGGGGAGACUGGAAUUCCUGGUGUAGCGGUGAAAUGCGCAGAUAUCAGGAGGAACACCGGUGGCGAAGGCGGGUCUCUGGGCCGAUAUUGACGCUGAGGAGCGAAAGCGUGGGGAGCGAACAGG